AACGAACGCUGGCGGCAGGCCUAACACAUGCAAGUCGAACGCCGUAGCAAUACGGAGUGGCAGACGGGUGAGUAACACGUGGGAACGUACCCUUGGUUCGGGAUAACUCAGGGAAACUUGAGCUAAUACCGGAUACGUCCGAGAGGAGAAAGAUUUAUCGCCGAGGGAUCGGCCCGNGUCUGAUUAGCUUGUUGGUGAGGUAACGGCUCACCAAGGCGACGAUCAGUAGCUGGUCGAGAGGAUGAUCAGCCACAUUGGGACUGAGACACGGCCCAAACUCCUACGGGAGGCAGCAGUGGGGAAUAUUGGAUAAUGGGCGCAAGCCUGAUCCAGCCAUGCCGCGUGAGUGAUGAAGGCCCUA
RNAcentral lists this ribosomal RNA (361 nucleotides) under uncultured bacterium. Its description in RNAcentral is "bacterial SSU rRNA". It matches the Rfam family "Bacterial small subunit ribosomal RNA", at positions 29 to 419 of the family's 1533-position model. The record is from RNAcentral.